UCAAGCUACAAAGGGCGUAUGGUGAAUGCCUUGGCAUCAGGAGCCGAUGAAGGACGUGAUAAGCUGCGAUAAGCUUCGGGUAGGCGCAAAUAGCCUGAGAUCCGGAGAUCUCCGAAUGAGGAAACUCACAUGGGAAACCCCAUGUAUCCAUAAGUGAAUACAUAGCUUAUGGAGGGUAAACCCAGGGAACUGAAACAUCUAAGUACCUGGAGGAAGAGAAAGAAAAAUCGAUUUUCUUAGUAGCGGCGAGCGAAAAGGAAAGAGCCCAAACCAGAAAUUUAUUUCUGGGGUUGCGGACAUAGCAUAAAAGUGAAGGCUAUUGUAAUUGAAGAGAACUGGAAAGUUCCACCGUAGAAGGUAAUAGUCCUGUAAGUAAAACGAGAAGAUCACAAGCUAUGAUCCAGAGUACCACGAGACACGUGAAACCUUGUGGGAAGCAGGGAGGACCACCUCCCAAGGCUAAAUACUACCUGAUGACCGAUAGUGAAGCAGUACCGUGAGGGAAAGGUGAAAAGAACCCCGGGAGGGGAGUGAAAUAGAACCUGAAACCGUAUGCCUACAACCGUUCAAAGCCCCUUAUGAGGGUGAUGAAGUGCUUUUUGUAGAACGAGCCAACGAGUUACGAUAUGUUGCGAGGUUAAGUACUUAAGGUACGGAGCCGAAGGGAAACCGAGUCUGAAUAGGGCAACUAGUAGCAUGUCGUAGACCCGAAACCGGGUGACCUAUCCAUGGCCAGGUUGAAGCGAAGGUAAAACUUCGUGGAGGACCGAACCACGUUGCUGUUGAAAAAGCAUGGGAUGAGCUGUGGAUAGCGGAGAAAUUCCAAUCGAACUCGGAUAUAGCUGGUUCUCCUCGAAAUAGCUUUAGGGCUAGCGUCGGGUAAUUAAGUACUGGAGGUAGAGCACUGAAUGGGCUAGGGGGCAUAGCGCUUACCGAACCUUAUCAAACUCCGAAUGCCAGAUACUCGUACCCCGGCAGUCAGACUACGAGUGAUAAGACCCGUGGUCAAAAGGGAAACAGCCCAGAUCGUCAGCUAAGGUCCCAAAGUGUAAGUUAAGUGGGAAAGGAUGUGGGAUUUCUAAGACAACUAGGAUGUUGGCUUAGAAGCAGCCACUCAUUUAAAGAGUGCGUAAUAGCUCACUAGUCGAGAGAUCCUGCGCCGAAAAUGUAACGGGGCUAAACUUACCACCGAAGCUACGGACUUGAAUUUAUUCAAGUGGUAGAGGAGCGUCGUAAUCGGGCUGAAGUCAUACCGUAAGGAGUGGUGGACUGAUUACGAGUGAGAAUGUUGGCAUUAGUAGCGAGAUGUGAGUGAGAAUCUCACAGGCCGAAAACCUAAGGUUUCCUCAGGAAGGCUCGUCCGCUGAGGGUUAGUCGGGACCUAAGCCGAGGCCGAAAGGCGUAGGCGAUGGACAACUGGUUGAUAUUCCAGUACCACUACCAUCGUUAUUAUCGAUGGCGUGACGCAGGAGGAUAGGAUGUGCUAGCUGUUGGAUUAGCUAGUCUAAGCAUUUAGGGAGUUAAGGUAGGCAAAUCCGCCUUAACAAUUCUGAGAUGUGAUGGGGAAGGCUCUACGGAGCUGAAGUAUCUGAUUCCACGCUGCCAAGAAAAGCGUCUAGAGAGAGAAGUAGUGCCCGUACCGCAAACCGACACAGGUAGGUGAGGAGAGAAUCCUAAGGCCGGCGGAAGAAUUGCAGUUAAGGAACUCGGCAAAUUGACCCCGUAACUUCGGGAGAAGGGGUGCCUACGAGAGUAGGCCGCAGAGAAUAGGCCCAAGCAACUGUUUAGCAAAAACACAGGUCUCUGCUAAAGCGUAAGCUGAUGUAUAGGGGCUGACGCCUGCCCGGUGCUGGAAGGUUAAGGGGAAUGCUUAGCGCAAGCGAAGGUAUGAACUUAAGCCCCAGUAAACGGCGGCCGUAACUAUAACGGUCCUAAGGUAGCGAAAUUCCUUGUCAGGUAAGUUCUGACCCGCACGAAUGGCGUAAUGAUUUGGGCACUGUCUCAACUGCAAAUCCGGCGAAGUUGUAGUGCGAGUGAAGAUGCUCGCUACCCGCGAUUGGACGGAAAGACCCCGUAGAGCUUUACUGUAGCUUAGCAUUGAAUUUCGGUAUUGUCUGUACAGGAUAGGUGGGAGGCUUUGAAGCUAGGACGUCAGUCUUAGUGGAGCCAACCUUGGGAUACCACCCUGAUAGUACUGGAAUUCUAACUGGAGGCCAUGAAUCUGGUCACAGGACAUUGUUAGGUGGGCAGUUUGACUGGGGCGGUCGCCUCCUAAAAAGUAACGGAGGCGCCCAAAGGUUCCCUCAGAACGGUCGGAAAUCGUUCGAAGAGUGCAAAGGCAGAAGGGAGCCUGACUGCGACACAUACAGGUGGAGCAGGGACGAAAGUCGGGCUUAGUGAUCCGGUGGUUCCUCGUGGGAGGGCCAUCGCUCAACGGAUAAAAGCUACCUCGGGGAUAACAGGCUGAUCUCCCCCAAGAGUUCACAUCGACGGGGAGGUUUGGCACCUCGAUGUCGGCUCGUCGCAUCCUGGGGCUGAAGUAGGUCCCAAGGGUUGGGCUGUUCGCCCAUUAAAGCGGCACGCGAGCUGGGUUCAGAACGUCGUGAGACAGUUCGGUCCCUAUCCGUCGCGGGCGUAGGAAAUUUGAGAGGAGCUGUCCUUAGUACGAGAGGACCGGGAUGGACUGACCUCUGGUGUACCAGUUGUUCCGCCAGGAGCACAGCUGGGUAGCUACGUCGGGAAGGGAUAAACGCUGAAAGCAUCUAAGCGUGAAGCCCCCCUCAAGAUAAGAUUUCCCAUAGAGUAAUCUAGUAAGACCCCUUGAAGACUACAAGGUUGAUAGGUCGGAGGUGUAAGCAUGGUAACAUGUUCAGCUGACCGAUACUAAUAGGUCGAGGGCUUGAUCU
RNAcentral lists this ribosomal RNA (2906 nucleotides) under human vaginal metagenome. RNAcentral's name for it is "bacterial LSU rRNA". It matches the Rfam family "Bacterial large subunit ribosomal RNA". The record is from RNAcentral.